CAGUCGCCGCGGUAAUACAGAGGGUGCGAGCGUUAAUCGGAUUUACUGGGCGUAAAGCGUGCGUAGGCGGCUUUUUAAGUCUGAUGUGAAAUCCCUGAGCUUAACUUAGGAAUUGCAUUCGAUACUGGGAAGCUAGAGUAUGGGAGAGGAUGGUAGAAUUCCAGGUGUAUCGGUGAAAUGCGUAGAGAUCUGGAGGAAUACCGAUGGCGAAGGCAGCCAUCUGGCCUAAUACUGACGCUGAGGUACGAAAGCAUGGGGAGCAAACAGGAUUAGAUACCCCUGUAGUCCCUGUCUCUUAUAC
This 301-nucleotide ribosomal RNA is filed under the name uncultured bacterium. Its description in RNAcentral is "partial 16S ribosomal RNA". It matches the Rfam family "Bacterial small subunit ribosomal RNA", at positions 509 to 807 of the family's 1533-position model. The record is from RNAcentral.